This 301-nucleotide ribosomal RNA is filed under the name uncultured bacterium. Its description in RNAcentral is "partial 16S ribosomal RNA". It matches the Rfam family "Bacterial small subunit ribosomal RNA", at positions 509 to 807 of the family's 1533-position model. The record is from RNAcentral.
CAGUCGCCACGGGAAUACGUAGGGUGCAAGCGUUAAUCGGAAUUACUGGGCGUAAAGCGUGCGCAGGCGGUUUGUUAAGACAGAUGUGAAAUCCCCGGGCUCAACCUGGGAACUGCAUUUGUGACUGGCAAGCUAGAGUGUGGCAGAGGGGGGUGGAAUUCCGCGUGUAGCAGUGAAAUGCGUAGAUAUGCGGAGGAACACCGAUGGCGAAGGCAGCCCCCUGGGCCAACACUGACGCUCAUGCACGAAAGCGUGGGGAGCAAACAGGAUUAGAUACCCCAGUAGUCCCUGUCUCUUAUAC